Mesocricetus auratus (golden hamster) is the source of this 1971-nucleotide long non-coding RNA. RefSeq lists it as uncharacterized. The record is from RefSeq and is a predicted model, not a curated record. The transcript has 3 exons. Lineage: Eukaryota; Metazoa; Chordata; Mammalia; Rodentia; Cricetidae.
GUCUGUAAGACAUUUUCUUGACUGCUAAUUGAUGAGGAGGGCCCAGUCCGGUACCAUCCCUAGGCAGGAGGGUCUGGUCUAUAUAAGAAAAGCAAGCCCGCAAGCAGUGCUCCUCCACAGUGUCUGCUUCAAGCGCCUGCCUUGACUUCCUGGAUGAUGGACUGAAAAUUCAGGGCGUCUUAGAAGACAAGAAGCCUGACUUCUAAGCCCCUCCCCAGUUCCAUUUCCUUAAGAACGAAAUGUUCAACAAUAACAGCAGAAAGAGAAAUGCAACACUGUCCUCAAUGAUACAGGAAAUCUGAGAGCAGCCUACUGGACCUAUGCGUGCAUUUAUUCUUUCAGGAUCAAAACUAUCCCUGAUCUUGGGCACAAGAGACAUCUCAGAAGCUAAAACCUGCCCUUGGUUUGACCACCAAUAUAAAAGACCUACAACUUCUAAUUGGCUUAAUCAGCAUGUUUGUCAUGGACUUAUUUGGGUGAGGGAGAGAGAGGAGAGAGGGCUUUAAUGAAGCACACCUUUGGGUAUGUCGGUUAGUGUGACUGAGGAAGACCCUUUUCCGCGGAGGAAGGCAGAGAGCACCGUUCCCACGGUUUGGGGUCCUGGGCUGAACAGAAAGAGGAAGAGGAGAAGGCCAGGUAAGUAUGCCCGUCUUUCCCACAUCUCUGCUUCCUGAUCAUGAGAUGCGGAGUCCCAGAAGCGUACUUCCACUGCAAUGGAGCUACCUGCAGCCACGACUUCCCUGGCCUGACAAACUUACACCCACCAAACCACAAAUCAGAACACACCUGUCUUCCCUGAAGUCACUUCUUGUCACAAAUGCAAUCACUGCAAUGAAAAAAACAAACCAACCCCUAAGCUGCAUGCAGUGAAGUGGUCCGGGAAGAAUUAGACAGAUGUUUGCCAGCCACGGAAGGCAGGAAAGAGGAACAGGCCGAAGGGCUGGCAGGGGUUCCGGGGAAGAGGGCAGCUGCUAUUUCCAGCCCUCUUACUCGUGCCUGACUCUGUUGCAAAUGAGCUUUGUCCUGAUCCCAUGAGGAGCCAACCUGAGAUGGAGCUUCACCCCACAGGUGGCACUUGCAAUGAGGGUGGAACCCAGGUGCAGUGUCUUCGGAAGCAGGAACUGACACUCAUCUGUUAAUUAGAAAAAUCUUUAGCUUUUGCUUUCUUUUCCCCAAUUUGCUCCUCUUUAGCUUUGCCAAAUAUGGUGGCUCAUGCUUGUAAUCUUAGCACUUGAGAGACCGAGACAGGAGUAUGACAAAUUUGAGGUCAGCCUAAGCUACCUUUCGAGACUCUAUUUCAAAACCACCAAGCAAACAGCAGGAAAAAACAAAAAAGCAAAAACAUAAUUAUCUCUAUGGUUAAGAAAAAUCAAUGUAGAAAUAAAAAACUGAAAUUCUCCACCCAAUGAACAAUCAUUGGCAAAUGUCCUUCCAGGAUAACAAUGCCCAGAGGUGGGCGUCUGUUUGCUAUUUAAUAGACAUGUGGUCACAGUCUAUGUGGCAGUCUGCUACCUGUCAGUUAUGUAUUCUCAUUCUCUGUGGUAGCAGGACUCUUGGCAAUGUGCCUAAGAGAACAAUUUACUCUCAAGGUUCCUUAACAGAUAGGUGUGGAGGGUAGCAUGUGGUUGGUGAGGUUCGUGCAACAGCUGCUGUGGCCUUUCCCCUGGGAUUCCCUUGUAAUGAGGGCCAAAGAGAGCCCCUAGGACGUGGGUACAUUAGAGUCCGACCUUGGUUCCCAAGGGUCCCUCUUCCCUGGUCAUUCCUUGACAUCCUGGUGGCCCAGUCCUUUGCACUGCCCUUCACACCUGUGACAGCCUUCUGGUCUUCACUUUUCCCAGAGCAUAACUGGGUCUUAUGGGUGGUGGAGCAAAGGGACAGACAGAUCCCAAACUUCUAGCCAGUUCAAUGAGCUGACACAGACUUGUGUCUAUUUUAUGAGUAGAAUAAACCAUUAGUCCAUUUAAAAUAUAA